RNAcentral lists this ribosomal RNA (468 nucleotides) under uncultured bacterium. Its description in RNAcentral is "partial 16S ribosomal RNA". It matches the Rfam family "Bacterial small subunit ribosomal RNA", at positions 28 to 507 of the family's 1533-position model. The record is from RNAcentral.
GACGAACGCUGGCGGCGUGCUUAACACAUGCAAGUCGAGCGGAAAGGCCCUGCUUUUGUUGGGUUCUCGAUUGGCGAACGGGUGAGUAACACGUGAGUAACCUGCCCUUGACUUUCUGAUAACUUCAGGGGACUGCGGCUAAUACCGGGUAUAAUCUCCUGCUGCAUGGUGGUGGUUGGAAAAUGUCGGCUGUGGUGGAUGGAAUCGCGGCUUAUCAGCUUGUUGGUGGGGUAGUGGCUUACCACGGCUUUGACGGGUAGCCGGCCUGGGAGCGUGAACGGGGACCAGAGGCCUGAGAUACGGAGCAGAAUCGUACGGGCGGCAGCAGUGGGGAAUAUGGCACAGUGGGGGGACGCCUGAUACAGAAACGUCGCGUGCGGGAUGACGGCCUUUGGGUUAUAAACAGAUUUCGACUGUGAUGUAGAGUGCGUGACGGUAACGGGUCAAGAAGCAACGGCUAACUACGUG